This 62-nucleotide transfer RNA is filed under the name Planorbis carinatus. Its description in RNAcentral is "tRNA-Asn". The record is from RNAcentral. Lineage: Eukaryota; Metazoa; Mollusca; Gastropoda; Planorbidae.
UAAAUUGAAGCAUCUUGCAUUUAACUGUUAAUUAAAAGAAUGUUUUUUAAAAACCAAUUUAA